CACUGCCUACAGAGUUUUACUGAGUACUAUACAACAGAACAGCAGCACCGUCAUCUUCAGCUCUUUCUAGCAUUAUUAUGAAAAGUUCAACGUUGAUUAUGAUGUUUAUGUUGUUAUAGACUACAUUUAUGCAAAAUUAAAUUGCAGCCAUAACAAAAUUGGGAACUGUUGCCAAUUGAAAUCGUGCAGAAUAGAAAUGACAAUAUUUGACAUGUUGAUAUUCUUCUGUCUGAGCUUGUGGAGUGGUGUGUUUGGUGAUGAUGCAGUGAAGUCAGAGUCAGUGAUGGAGGGAGAAUCAGUCACGCUAAACCCUGAUGUUAAUACAAUUAAUGAGAUACAGUUGAGCUUUAUACACAACACCAACACAAUUAUCAUAGCUCGAAUCAACAGACAAACUGAAAAGAAAACAGUUUAUGAGGAUGCUGUUGCUGGGAGAUUCAGAGACAGACUGAAGAUGGAUCAGACUGGAUCUCUGAUCAUCAGAGACACCAGAACCACAGACUUUGGACAUUAUACAGUAACCAGCACCAACACAAAGAAACCACUCAACACAUUCAAUCUCACUGUCUACGGUGAGUAGAAUACUUACACUGUUUUAUAUAGGCCUACAUCUUUUGACAAUUAACUGUCAUAAUUAUUGAGAAUAUUAUGGACAACUAUGUGAUUAUACAGAUUUAUUUGUGCUUUGUAAGCCUAUUCUUGUAAUCAACAUCUUAUACCCUUUGUUUCUCUUCUACUUUAGUUCCGUUUUAAAUCUCUAUUAACUGAUAAAUAUCACAGCACUUUAUACUGAAUUAGAUUUAUACUGCCAUGGUUUCCAGCUGGUCUGUCUGUUCCUGUCAUCAGCCACUCUUCACAAAAUUCAUCUUCAUCACAGCAGAAUUGUUCAUUGUUGUGUUCAGUGGUGAAUGUGAGUGAUGUGACUCUCUCCUGGUACAAAGGAAACAGUUUAUUGUCCAGCAUCAGUGUGUCUGAUCUCAGCAUCAGUCUCUCUCUUCCUCUGGAGAUUGAGUGUCUGGAUGAUUCCUACAGCUGUGUGAUCAACAAUCCCAUCAGAAACCAGACUCAACAUCUCAGCACUGAACUGUGUCACACAUGUGCAGGUUAUCAUAUCCACUGUUGUGGUUUUACUGAAACUGUGAUCCGAUUGGCUCUCUCUGCUCUGGUGGGCAUAGCUGCUGUUGCUGUGCUGGUUUAUGACAUCAGAUCCAGAUUUCUUCAACAGAAGAGGAAUGAGC
Molecule: long non-coding RNA, 1238 nt
Organism: Carassius carassius (crucian carp)
Lineage: Eukaryota; Metazoa; Chordata; Actinopteri; Cypriniformes; Cyprinidae
Exons: 3
Source: RefSeq, a predicted model, not a curated record